UCAUUGGUGGUUCAGUGGUGGAAUUCUUACCUUCCAUGAGGGAGACCUGGGUUUGAUUCCCAGCCAAUGUA
This 71-nucleotide transfer RNA is filed under the name Loxodonta africana (African savanna elephant). It matches the Rfam family "tRNA". Rfam says of the family: Transfer RNA (tRNA) molecules are approximately 80 nucleotides in length. The record is from Rfam by way of RNAcentral. Lineage: Eukaryota; Metazoa; Chordata; Mammalia; Proboscidea; Elephantidae.